GGGGAAUAUUGGACAAUGGGGGCAACCCUGAUCCAGCCAUGCCGCGUGAGUGAUGAAGGCCUUCGGGUUGUAAAGCUCUUUUGGCGGGGACGAUGAUGACGGUACCCGCAGAAUAAGCCCCGGCUAACUUCGUGCCAGCAGCCGCGGUAAUACGAAGGGGGCUAGCGUUGUUCGGAAUUACUGGGCGUAAAGCGCACGUAGGCGGAUUGUUAAGUCGGGGGUGAAAUCCCGGGGCUCAACCCCGGAACUGCCUUCGAUACUGGCAAUCUAGAGUCCGGAAGAGGUGAGUGGAAUUCCGAGUGUAGAGGUGAAAUUCGUAGAUAUUCGGAGGAACACCAGUGACGAAGGCGGCUCACUGGUCCGGUACUGACGCUGAGGUGCGAAAGCGUGGGGAGCAAACA
This 401-nucleotide ribosomal RNA is filed under the name uncultured bacterium. RNAcentral describes it as "bacterial SSU rRNA". It matches the Rfam family "Bacterial small subunit ribosomal RNA", at positions 356 to 774 of the family's 1533-position model. The record is from RNAcentral.